Long non-coding RNA from Solanum dulcamara, 1476 nucleotides. RefSeq lists it as uncharacterized. The record is from RefSeq and is a predicted model, not a curated record. Lineage: Eukaryota; Viridiplantae; Streptophyta; Magnoliopsida; Solanales; Solanaceae. The transcript has 2 exons.
AUUAAGAAGCUUGUUAAUUAAUUAGUGUUAAUUCAUUUUAUUUUAAUUUUAGCCGAAUUCCCUAAUUAAAUUCAUUUUGGCUAAAUUCGAAAUUCGAAUAAUUAUAAUUUAAAUGCAUAUGGUCUAAAAUUGCAAAGAUCAACCAUUUUAGGCUCUAUCCUUUCCCAAUUCUAUACCAAUAAAGCCCAUUUUCUUUUUAACAUUAUACUCACACACGCAUCACACCAUUUCCAAUUUCAAUUUGGACAGAUCCCACUCAACAAUAUAUAAUUUCCUACACAUUAUACCUAUACAACAACUAAUCUACACCUCACUAUCCUACAACCUACGUGCCAACACUACACUACCCAGCAACAUUCCUAAUACACUCACUCAACAUAUAUACCACAUCAACAUGCACACAAUUCCUACUUCUUAUAUACACCACUCCACCGCCCCAACCCACCAAUAAAAUUCAAAAUCCCAAAACAAACCCACGACAAUACAAUACAUCACGAAGCCCACCCCAAUUUCCAAAAGAACUCCAGCCAACAACGCAUACAUACACCGCAUACAAUACAUACACGCCCAGUAUAUAUGUCCAUCCUUCGCAGUCUUGUUCUUCAUCCCCGACAAUAGUACAUCAGAAGACAACGACUCCUGCACUUCGUCCUUUCAUGCGUGAAGAUUUCACCACGUAGUGAUUCCAAGGACGCGUGAAUCAAUCUCGGCCAUCCACAUUGCUCGUUUCAUCCAAAUUUAUUGAAGAUUUUUGGCAUUUAUUUGGAGGAAUUUGGGUAUAUUUCUUAUCUAACGGGAGGAAUUUGAAUUUUGAAUUUUAAAAUUUCAUCUAAAACCCUCAUUUCAUUUGAAAAUCCCUCCCCCCCCCCAUUUUUGACCCCAAAAUCCCUUCAAUAAAAGACUUCAAACUUUGGGAAGGAGUUAGGAUUAUUCUUUAAAGAAGAAAAUACAUGUUCGAUUAAGAGGGUUACAAAUUUUUACCAAAAAGAUACAAAUCUUUAAAGUAGUUAAGAAUUUUUGAACAAGAACGAAGGGUGUUUAUUCUGAGAAGACUGAUAAAGUGCAAGAUUUUUGUUCGUUUUCUUUUUGAGUUUGCUCUAGUGGGUCUCUACUUAUGGUGAUGAAGAAGCUUCAGCUCGCUCAUCCCAGUUCCUGCUCCGAAGAAGGGCCAAGGAGGCCCAAAUCACCUUUCCUUCGAAUCUGCCUCACAAAAGUCAGAUGGAAGCGGAUGAACAACUCCUGUAAGCUGAAUUACAGGUUGUGGAAGUAGAAAAUAGGCUGUAUAAACAACCUGAUAUACAUAAAAACAAUGUUGUAUAACUGAUAUACAAUGUAUAUACAGUUGUGAUACAGAAAAAUUGGGUCUAAGACCCAAAAUACAGGUGGCCCAACAGCUUAGUCCAGACAUACAAAAAUUAAGUGUUGGGCUAAGUUUUCAUAUUUUUAUUCUUUUAAAUUUAAUUUGGAUUGUAAUAA